UUAAAUGAUUGAUAUUAAUAUAUUCAAAUAUAUAUAUAUAUAUAUAUAUAUAUAUAUAUAUAUAGUUAUAUUGUAAAAUUAAACAUUAUGUGGUUAAUGUAGAAGAGAAAGUUGGGAAAAAUACAUGCUCAAAGACCUGUACCUGUUAGGACUACUUUCAAUUAAUACUUAUCAACAAACAGUCAAGAAGAGCAUGAGGAGAGAGACUUUAUCUUCACGAAUAUUGAGAUCGCCAUACACAACGAAAUUUGGCUCUGCAGAGCCAAAAAAGGGAAUGAUAGAGUUUAAUGCUCAAGGAUUUGAAGCACCAAGCUUUAAAUUGCUCUCCCAAGGUCUUUAGAAGAAUGCGUUAUUUGCUUCUGUUUUUUUUUAACAUGAACUGAAGGAACAGAUUUGUAUUUUAGAAUGAAGUAAUUUAAAUAUUGUUAUUUGCUUUCUAAUUUA
This is a long non-coding RNA of Cucumis melo (muskmelon), 444 nucleotides long. RefSeq lists it as uncharacterized. NCBI's taxonomy places the organism in Eukaryota, Viridiplantae, Streptophyta, Magnoliopsida, Cucurbitales, Cucurbitaceae. The transcript has 2 exons. The record is from RefSeq and is a predicted model, not a curated record.